This 301-nucleotide ribosomal RNA is filed under the name uncultured bacterium. RNAcentral describes it as "partial 16S ribosomal RNA". It matches the Rfam family "Bacterial small subunit ribosomal RNA", at positions 509 to 807 of the family's 1533-position model. The record is from RNAcentral.
CAGCCGCCGCGGGAAUACGUAGGGUGCAAGCGUUAAUCGGAAUUACUGGGCGUAAAGCGUGCGCAGGCGGUGUUGUAAGACUGAUGUGAAAUCCCCGGGCUCAACCUGGGAACUGCAUUGGUGACUGCAACGCUGGAGUGCGGCAGAGGGGGAUGGAAUUCCGCGUGUAGCAGUGAAAUGCGUAGAUAUGCGGAGGAACGCCGAUGGCGAAGGCAAUCCCCUGGGCCUGCACUGACGCUCAUGCACGAAAGCGUGGGGAGCAAACAGGAUUAGAUACCCCUGUAGUCCCUGUCUCUUAUAC